CUAAGUUUGAUGGCGACCGGCGCACGGGUGAGUAACACGUAUCCAACCUGCCGAUGACUCGGGGAUAGCCUUUCGAAAGAAAGAUUAAUACCCGAUGGCAUAGUUCUUCCGCAUGGUAGAACUAUUAAAGAAUUUCGGUUAUCGAUGGGGAUGCGUUCCAUUAGUUUGUUGGCGGGGUAACGGCCCACCAAGACUACGAUGGAUAGGGGUUCUGAGAGGAAGGUCCCCCACAUUGGAACUGAGACACGGUCCAA
Molecule: ribosomal RNA, 254 nt
Filed under: uncultured bacterium
Lineage: Bacteria
Description: partial 16S ribosomal RNA
Rfam family: Bacterial small subunit ribosomal RNA
Source: RNAcentral